Molecule: non-coding RNA, 29 nt
Filed under: Rattus norvegicus (Norway rat)
Lineage: Eukaryota; Metazoa; Chordata; Mammalia; Rodentia; Muridae
Source: RNAcentral
UAGAAUUCUCCAGCAGGUUUUUACUGUUC